Long non-coding RNA from Sapajus apella (tufted capuchin), 645 nucleotides. RefSeq lists it as uncharacterized. Lineage: Eukaryota; Metazoa; Chordata; Mammalia; Primates; Cebidae. The transcript has 3 exons. The record is from RefSeq and is a predicted model, not a curated record.
AAGCCCUGUAAGGAUUUGAAAUUCACAAAUCAUCUUGGAAACAAUUUUUGAACCAUGUCAGGAUUUUUUCACUUUCUUCAAGGGUGACAAAGUAUCUUCUGAGAAUAAGUUUUAAUUUUUUUAUAACAGUGAAUCAUUUGGAGUUAAAAUUGGCAAAAAUGUGGUUGCUCAAACUGAGUAACUUUUAAACGAGAAAUAAGGGGUAACUAUCAAAAAGAUUAUUUUCUUUGUUCAGCUUUUAGACUGUCCUUAAAGACCAUUCCAAAAGAUAGUACUGACAGUUUUCUGAGGUGAUUAUUUUUAAAGGAUACCACUUAUUUAGACAGUAUAUUUUAGAAAGAUUGUUGAACUGGUUAACUUUGUAGAUACUUCUUAUUUUUCUGUUCUAACAAUUAAAAACUUUAUUUUCCCCUAGAAUAAUAAAUAUAUAUGAUUUGUUUUAUUCCUCUUAUAUUAGAGUAUAUGUACUUUUUAAUUAUAUUUUUUAAACUAAGGCUUCUGUAUGAUGAAAGAGUCCAAAACUUGAUGAGAAAUUUUUUCACUCUGAAGUCUUAGGGGUGACAACUAGAUUAUAAAAAUAACUCCAUGUGAAUGGAUUUGUGUAUGUGAUGUCACGUAUUGAUACAUUUAUAUUUCUUGUUUUCU